Molecule: ribosomal RNA, 444 nt
Filed under: Triticum aestivum (bread wheat)
Lineage: Eukaryota; Viridiplantae; Streptophyta; Magnoliopsida; Poales; Poaceae
Description: partial small subunit ribosomal RNA
Source: RNAcentral
GCACGUGAUGAUCCCGUUGAUGAUCUUGGUCGGACCAUUGCUGAUGCACGGAGACGCUGCGAAACUGAAAAGGAGAGGGAGAAUUUGGAUCGCAUGUUAGAGGAUCACAGAAAGGCGUUGUACCCCGGAUGCGAUGAUGGUCUGAAAAAGCUGGGCUGCACACUGGAUUUGCUGAAAUGGAAGGCAGAGGCAGGUGUAGCUGACUCGGCAUUUGAAAACUUGCUGAAAAUGUUGAAGAAUAUGUUUCCAAAGGAUAACGAGUUGCCCGCCAGUACGUACGAAGCAAAGAAGGUUGUCUGCCCUCUAGGUUUAGAGGUUCUGAAGAUACAUGCAUGCAUCAACGACUGCAUCCUCUACCGCGGUGAAUACGAGAAUUUGAAUGAAUGCCCGGUAUGCACUGCAUUGCGUUAUAAGAUCAGAGGCGAUGACCCUGGUGACGAUGUU